AUGGCGGCGCUGGAGAUCGCCUUCGCCGCCAUCAGCGUCGCGGCCAUCAUCGCCAUUGCCUACUUCCUCCACACGUGCUCGCGGGAGGCCACGCCCGUGCCGAUGCCGAUGCCGCCCGGCGCGGAGGAGACGGCGGCCGCCGCCGGCGACGUCGAGCUGCAGCAGGCGGGGAUGGACGAGGCCGCGAUCAGCGCGCUGCCCAAGGUGGUGGUGCACGCGAGCGGCGGGGAAGCGUCCUCGUCGUCCACGAGCUGUGCGGUGUGCCUGGGCGAGUACGACCGGGGGGACGUGCUGCGGGUGCUGCCGGACUGCGCGCACUCGUUCCACCGGCCGUGCGUCGACCAGUGGCUGCGCCUUCGCCCCAGCUGCCCCGUCUGCCGCACGCCGCCGUCCACGCCGGCGCCGGCAGCCGCCUCGCCGAGCCAAACGUGA
RNAcentral lists this ribosomal RNA (432 nucleotides) under Triticum aestivum (bread wheat). Its description in RNAcentral is "partial small subunit ribosomal RNA". The record is from RNAcentral. Lineage: Eukaryota; Viridiplantae; Streptophyta; Magnoliopsida; Poales; Poaceae.